GUGCUCACUUUGGCAGCACAUACGCUAAAAUUGGAACGAUGCAGAGAAGAUUAGCAUGGCCUCUGCUCAAGGAUGACAUGCAAAUUUGUGAAGCGUUCCAUAUAUUU
RNAcentral lists this small nuclear RNA (107 nucleotides) under Vicugna pacos (alpaca). The record is from RNAcentral. Lineage: Eukaryota; Metazoa; Chordata; Mammalia; Artiodactyla; Camelidae.